ACCAGACUCCUACGGGAGGCAGCAGUGGGGGAUAUUGCACAAUGGAGGGAACUCUGAUGCAGCGACGCCGCGUGAGGGAAGAAGGUUUUCGGAUUGUAAACCUCUGUCUUCGGUGACGAAACGAGACGGUAGCCGAGGAGGAAGCCACGGCUAACUACGUGCCAGCAGCCGCGGUAAUACGUAGGUGGCAAGCGUUGUCCGGAAUUACUGGGUGUAAAGGGAGCGUAGGCGGGAAAGCAAGUCAGAUGUGAAAACCAUGGGCUCAACCUGUGGCCUGCAUUUGAAACUGUUUUUCUUGAGUACUGGAGAGGCAGACGGAAUUCCUAGUGUAGCGGUGAAAUGCGUAGAUAUUAGGAGGAACACCAGUGGCGAAGGCGGUCUGCUGGACAGCAACUGACGCUGAGGCGCGAAAGCGUGGGGAGCAAACAGGAUUAGAUACCCGAGUA
RNAcentral lists this ribosomal RNA (446 nucleotides) under uncultured bacterium. RNAcentral describes it as "bacterial SSU rRNA". It matches the Rfam family "Bacterial small subunit ribosomal RNA", at positions 330 to 792 of the family's 1533-position model. The record is from RNAcentral.